UGUGUUUGCCAAUUAUCCAGCAGAACAAAUUUCAGCUGAAGAAGAGUACAUCCUCAACUGGCCUAACCAGCAGCAUCAUGAAUCAAGUCGUAAAACCAACAAGAAAGGGAGGCCGUCUAAAGCAAAAUGUAGUAGGUUGGCUGCAACUAUCAUCUGCUCCAGCGAUGACAAGCUGUGGCUAACUCAAAAAGCUUCCAGUCUUGCAGCAGCUCGAGAGAUUAAUGGCUCUACGAAGAAUCCAUCCUCCUCUUUUGAUGAAGCUGAAACUGAUGCUGUCACACCUGAACCAACAUGAAAAUGACACCGAGCUGUGGCCCAAACUGAAAAAGCUAUACAACUGCAACAAGACAAGAAAGAAAAGGCUGCCGUUGAUAUAGCUGAAAAGGAGAGGUUGGCCUUAAAGGCUGAAAAGAAGAAUAAGAAGAAGGCUGACCGAAGUCAGCUGGCCAAUGAAAUAUUGAAACAAGUAGUGACGUCACCAUCAUCUUCAUCAGUUGCAGUUGCUUCAUCGCCUUCAGUUGCUGUCGGUGACGAUAAUCAGAAUUCUAAUUCAUCUCAAGAUUAUGAAGAUAUAAUGUUGAAAAUAAAAGAACAAAUUUUGAAAUCAUCAUCAGCAGCAUCAACCAUUUCUACCAAGUCAGAGGAUGUGUUGAAGCUGGAGGAACGAGUUGCAACUCUGGAGAAGGAAAUGAUUGAGUUUCGUCAUCGUAAUCACUUCAAUCAUCCUUUGGCUGUGUCUUAUUCAACCCCAUAUGUUUCGUCAGGCUAUUCAAGUUAUGAUUGGGGUUCUGCAGCACCGUCAACAAGUCAACAUGCUGUCGACCCACAUCCCACGACAAGUUUUUUCGGUGAGAUGAACAGCAAUUUCGGCAAUAAUUCUC
Molecule: long non-coding RNA, 881 nt
Organism: Daphnia pulicaria
Lineage: Eukaryota; Metazoa; Arthropoda; Branchiopoda; Diplostraca; Daphniidae
Exons: 3
Source: RefSeq, a predicted model, not a curated record